CUGCCACCUCCGAUUCCGAGCUUUCGGCACCUCUGCCGGGUGGUACCGAGCCUUCCCGGCGCCCCCUCCUCUCCUCCCACCGGCCUGCCCUUCCCCGCGGGACUAUCGCCCCCACGUUUCCCUCAGCCCUUUUCUCUCCCGGCCGAGCCGCGGCGGCAGCAGCAGCAGCAGCAGCAGCAGGAGGAGGAGCCCGGUGGCGGCGGUGGCCGGGGAGCCCAUGGCGUACAGUCAAGGAGGCGGCAAAAAAAAAGUCUGCUACUACUACGACGGUGAUAUUGGAAAUUAUUAUUAUGGACAGGGUCAUCCCAUGAAGCCUCAUAGAAUCCGCAUGACCCAUAACUUGCUGUUAAAUUAUGGCUUAUACAGAAAAAUGGAAAUAUAUGCCCCAUAAAGCCACUGCCGAAGAAAUGACAAAAUAUCACAGUGAUGAGUAUAUCAAAUUUCUACGGUCAAUAAGACCAGAUAACAUGUCUGAGUAUAGUAAGCAGAUGCAGAGAUUUAAUGUUGGAGAAGAUUGUCCAGUGUUUGAUGGACUCUUUGAGUUUUGUCAGCUCUCAACUGGCGGUUCAGUUGCUGGAGCUGUGAAGUUAAACCGACAACAGACUGAUAUGGCUGUUAAUUGGGCUGGAGGAUUACAUCAUGCUAAGAAAUCAGAAGCAUCAGGAUUCUGUUACGUUAAUGAUAUUGUGCUUGCCAUCCUUGAAUUACUAAAGUAUCAUCAGAGAGUCUUAUAUAUUGAUAUAGAUAUUCAUCAUGGUGAUGGUGUUGAAGAAGCUUUUUAUACAACAGAUCGUGUAAUGACGGUAUCAUUCCAUAAAUAUGGGGAAUACUUUCCUGGCACAGGAGACUUGAGGGAUAUUGGUGCUGGAAAAGGCAAAUACUAUGCUGUCAAUUUUCCAAUGAGAGAUGGUAUAGAUGAUGAGUCAUAUGGGCAGAUAUUUAAGCCUAUUAUCUCAAAGGUGAUGGAGAUGUAUCAACCUAGUGCUGUGGUAUUACAGUGUGGUGCAGACUCAUUAUCUGGUGAUAGACUGGGUUGUUUCAAUCUAACAGUCAAAGGUCAUGCUAAAUGUGUAGAAGUUGUAAAAACUUUUAACUUACCAUUACUGAUGCUUGGAGGAGGUGGCUACACAAUCCGUAAUGUUGCUCGAUGUUGGACAUAUGAGACUGCAGUUGCCCUUGAUUGUGAGAUUCCCAAUGAGUUGCCAUAUAAUGAUUACUUUGAGUAUUUUGGACCAGACUUCAAACUGCAUAUUAGUCCUUCAAACAUGACAAACCAGAACACUCCAGAAUAUAUGGAAAAGAUAAAACAGCGUUUGUUUGAAAAUUUGCGCAUGUUACCUCAUGCACCUGGUGUCCAGAUGCAAGCUAUUCCAGAAGAUGCUGUUCAUGAAGACAGUGGAGAUGAAGAUGGAGAAGAUCCAGACAAGAGAAUUUCUAUUCGAGCAUCAGACAAGCGGAUAGCUUGUGAUGAAGAAUUCUCAGAUUCUGAGGAUGAAGGAGAAGGAGGUCGAAGAAAUGUGGCUGAUCAUAAG
RNAcentral lists this long non-coding RNA (1532 nucleotides) under Homo sapiens (human). RNAcentral's name for it is "long non-coding RNA NONHSAT209596.1". Lineage: Eukaryota; Metazoa; Chordata; Mammalia; Primates; Hominidae. The record is from RNAcentral.